UGCAAGUCGAGCGGCAGCGGGUCCUUCGGGAUGCCGGCGAGCGGCGGACGGGUGAGUAAUGCCUAGGAAUCUGCCUGAUAGUGGGGGAUAACGUUCGGAAACGGACGCUAAUACCGCAUACGUCCUACGGGAGAAAGCGGGGGAUCUUCGGACCUCGCGCUAUCAGAUGAGCCUAGGUCGGAUUAGCUAGUUGGUGGGGUAAAGGCUCACCAAGGCGACGAUCCGUAACUGGUCUGAGAGGAUGAUCAGUCACACUGGAACUGAGACACGGUCCAGACUCCUACGGGAGGCAGCAGUGGGGAAUAUUGGACAAUGGGCGAAAGCCUGAUCCAGCCAUGCCGCGUGUGUGAAGAAGGUCUUCGGAUUGUAAAGCACU
This 376-nucleotide ribosomal RNA is filed under the name Pseudomonas sp. EA_S_24. Its description in RNAcentral is "bacterial SSU rRNA". It matches the Rfam family "Bacterial small subunit ribosomal RNA", at positions 56 to 434 of the family's 1533-position model. The record is from RNAcentral. Lineage: Bacteria; Pseudomonadati; Pseudomonadota; Gammaproteobacteria; Pseudomonadales; Pseudomonadaceae.